RNAcentral lists this small RNA (20 nucleotides) under Arabidopsis thaliana (thale cress). RNAcentral's name for it is "ATSL247140". Lineage: Eukaryota; Viridiplantae; Streptophyta; Magnoliopsida; Brassicales; Brassicaceae. The record is from RNAcentral.
AAAAAACAAACAAACAAAAA